This 531-nucleotide ribosomal RNA is filed under the name Dyella sp. Its description in RNAcentral is "bacterial SSU rRNA". It matches the Rfam family "Bacterial small subunit ribosomal RNA", at positions 197 to 723 of the family's 1533-position model. Lineage: Bacteria; Pseudomonadati; Pseudomonadota; Gammaproteobacteria; Lysobacterales; Rhodanobacteraceae. The record is from RNAcentral.
AUCAGCAAUGACCUCGCGCGGUUGGAUGGACCGAUGUUCGAUUAGCUUGUUGGUGGGGUAAUGGCCUACCAAGGCGACGAUCGAUAGCUGGUCUGAGAGGAUGAUCAGCCACACUGGGACUGAGACACGGCCCAGACUCCUACGGGAGGCAGCAGUGGGGAAUAUUGGACAAUGGGCGCAAGCCUGAUCCAGCAAUGCCGCGUGUGUGAAGAAGGCCUUCGGGUUGUAAAGCACUUUUAUCAGGAGCGAAAUACCACGGGUUAAUACCCUAUGGGGCUGACGGUACCUGAGGAAUAAGCACCGGCUAACUUCGUGCCAGCAGCCGCGGUAAUACGAAGGGUGCAAGCGUUAAUCGGAAUUACUGGGCGUAAAGCGUGCGUAGGUGGUUUUUUAAGUCUGCUGUGAAAUCCCCGGGCUCAACCUGGGAAUGGCAGUGGAUACUGGAAAGCUAGAGUGUGAGAGAGGAUGGUGGAAUUCCCGGUGUAGCGGUGAAAUGCGUAGAGAUCGGGAGGAACAUCAGUGGCGAAGGCG